This is a long non-coding RNA of Perca fluviatilis (European perch), 296 nucleotides long. RefSeq lists it as uncharacterized. The record is from RefSeq and is a predicted model, not a curated record. Lineage: Eukaryota; Metazoa; Chordata; Actinopteri; Perciformes; Percidae. The transcript is spliced from 3 exons.
UCCUCUGUCCUCGUCUCCUGCUCUCCUAGCGUCCUUGGUGUCUGUCCCAGUCCUCUGUGGUCUGGUGCUGCUGGUCAUUCUGGUCCUACUGGUGAGACGAUGUGUCCGCAGGAAACACUCAACAACAACAACAACAACAACAACAACAACAACAGAGACUGAUCCAGCUCCGGUCUACUCAGCAGUGGAAAGAACAGAAGAAGUCAGUUAUGAAGUGAACAGGUGGAGAGAGAGCGAUCGAGCUGCAGUGAGAGGAACUACAGACGUCUGUUAUGGACAAAUAGUGAUCGGACCAA